RNAcentral lists this long non-coding RNA (32604 nucleotides) under Setaria italica (foxtail millet). RNAcentral's name for it is "long non-coding RNA (SITA_LNC006310)". Lineage: Eukaryota; Viridiplantae; Streptophyta; Magnoliopsida; Poales; Poaceae. The record is from RNAcentral.
AGGUCCUCGUCUUUAUCCUCUCCAAUUGGCUCAUCGUGUCGCUCCUCUGUCAGUACACCGCCAAGCGCCACUGGCGGCAGAGCCGCAUGGUAUGUUGGCUCAUCCGCGGCAUCCUGUGGGUGCGAAGCAUGCUAAGCCACCCUAACCUCAGCUUCAAGCAGCUCUCCGUGCUAAGGUUCUUCCAACUGUCGUCGCCUUCGCCGAUCAUGGUGCCAACCAAGGCAGUGCCCAAGGAAGUGAUGGAGUCGAUCGUGGAUUAUCUGGUGGUUCACUUGGAUGUCUACGGCAUCGAUGGCCAUGACGACCCUCUCAAUUCGGCCUGGUCCUCCACACUGCAACAGGAGAAGCACAGGGCAUACCGUCCCCUGCUCUUGCCGGUGUGUGAGAGCAAGAGCAUCGCUGAGUUCAUCCUCACCUGUCACAUUGCCACCGCCCUAAUGGAGGUGAGGUACCCGCAGGACGAAAAGGAAAUGGGAUCUCAUCGCAAGGUGGCGACGACGCUGUCCAAGUACUGCACUUACUUGGUGGGCUUUUACCCAGGGCUUCUUCCGGACGACAAGAAUGGGACAAAGCACACUUACAAGAAGAUGAAGGAGGACAUGAACAAGGAGCUUGGAGGGUGCUGGUGGUACCACCUGUCGCUGCAGGGAACCAGGUACAAGAGGCUGAUGGAGAUCGGCGAAUCGAAGCAGAAGGCCGUGACAAUGGUGCGCAACGGGGCCAGGUUAGGGACAGCACUGAUCGAGAAGGCCGAGGAGAACAACGAGGCGCGUGAUCGCGUGUGGGAGCUGCUGAACGACCUUUGGACGGAGGUCAUGGUGUAUGUGGCGCCGUCGGCCGGCGACCUCCACGUGAAAGCCCACAAGGAGGCGCUGGCGCGCGGCGGUGAGUUCAUCACCGUGCUUUGGGUGCUGUGUACGCACACCGGCAUGACCAGGCCAGCCCUCGCACCGUGGGAGGUAGCACGUCAUGCGUUUGAACCAUAGAGCAUUAUUGGCUUCCCGUGUGUGCCGAUCUUUCGAGGACAGCUUGCUUGGGAUGGUUCAUCUCACAUGCUCCAUUCCGCUACUAACGCUAACAUUAGUACCGCGUCAUAAUGUGACCGGUACUAAGGGAGUGGACGAAAGAUAUAUUAAAAAUAGAUAUAUAGCCACCCGUUGUGAAUGCAUGGGUUGAUGCCAGUAAUUCCUAGAAAACGAGGCCAACCACAACCUCUUCAUCCACUUCUCCGACGUGAGCGCACAAUUCUCAACACUAGUAAGAAACAGAGCUUUAGUCCCGGUUUUUUAGUCCCGGUUGGUAAGGAUCAUAGAUCCCAAAAAUCCAAUCGAGACUAACUAUUCAAGGCUAAAUGACUCCUUUAGUCCCGGGUCAUUCACCUGGGACUAAAGGUGCCCUUUAGUUCCGGUUGGUGUUACCAAGCGAGACUAAAAAAAUUCCAAAAAAAAUAAAAAAAGCCAUCCGCGCCCGCCGCCCGCCUGCCUCCCACGGCCGCGCUGGCCUCAUGCUGCCCGCCCGCGCCCACGCCGACCACGUGCUACGACCCGCCCGCACCCACCCGACCGACCGCCCGCGUCGGAGCAUGGAAGAAAGGGAGAGGAGGAAGAAGAAGAGAUAAGGUGGAGAGGCCCUGCGUGGGAGAUAAGAAAGGGAGGGGAGGAGAUAAGUGGAGAGAAAGGGAGGCGACGAGAUUUUGUCUUGGUUGGAAUUUCCAACCGCGACAAAAGAUUUACUUCCGGUUGGAAUUUCCAACCGGGAUAAGGGUGGCGUCGAUGUCAGAUUUUUUAGCUGUUAGAACCAAGCCUACAACCGUGACUAAAGCCCCUUCAGUCGGUGGCCUUUGGUGCCUCAUACCUGGGACUAAAGUCACUUUAGUUCCGAGUCCAAAGUCAACCAAGAUAAAAGCAUCAAGAUGGAAGGUCAGUUCUCUAGUAUUGCAAGCCUAGUGUCUGCCACCUCCUCUCCACCAACAUGUCCCUCUUUCUGCAUGUAACACUUUCACACAUGCAUGUAACUUGAUUAAUCUUCUCAUGCGUGUUCACAACAAACGCAUGGAUGAAAAACAUGUCAAGAUUAAUUUCCAACACUUUUUUCUUCUAUAGAUAGUUUCCACUAAGUGGUUCACCACAUAAUAAAAUUUAGAUACUUGUCUCUGCAUAUCAUCGAUCAAUGUUGUUAGAGGGAUACAACAUUAUCAUUGUGUACAUCAUAUCAAUGACCGAACUUCAACUAUUAUAGAUACUGUUAUACUGUUAGCAAUGCAUAUAUCUCAAAUAUUAUUGCUUCUCUUUAAUUAGCUAAAGAAUAGGAUGCUAGAAUGAAAACGUCAAAAGAAAAAACAUAAUGAUGAAGGCAUCAGGUCCUCUCUUUUGGGGGCCAAGAUUCCUGCUGAUAUUGAUAACAAAAGAAGGAUACCAUGGGUUCUCUCCCAUUUGGAACUAUAUGUGACAAAAGUUAUGCCAGUACCUUAAAUGCUAAGGCUUGCUCAUCUUUUGAAUUUUUGUUCUUUGGCGGCCCCUGUCAUUUGAGCCUUUUGAUAAAGUAAAGGAGAGGAGAAUAAGCGCUAAAGGAAAGACCAACUGCUAUGGUGUUACCCGAACACCAUUGGCGGCAUCUUUCGAUUUACAGUACAUGCAGGCACGCCAAUACUCUCCUUCAAUCGUGUGCUUGCAGAACCUAUGAAAACGAUGCUCAUGCUUUGCAAGGGCACGGAAAUUUCGACUCAGAACGUGUCCAGAGGAAAUGGGCCCACUCGUAUGAUUCAUGGGAACAUGAACAAACAGAGACGUUCAGAUUCAGAAGUAUGGAAUUUGCAAGUCCCCGCAACCCACCGCCCCCACGUUGCUCCCGCAUGAGUGACACUGGUGGACGAAACCCUCGCCGCUGCCGCCCCUUCCUCCCUCUCCCCACCGCUGUGCCACCGCCCAAGCCGGCCGCUGAAAGCCUACGCGUCUCAUGAGGACGGCGGCGGUGGGGCGGCCUGCUUCUCCCCUUGAUCUCCUGGUGGGCGUGGCCGCUGUGGAGGUCAGAGGGAGUCGCCCGUAGGGCGACACACGGCCGUGACAGCGAGGCCGGAUCCGGGGCCCCUGUGGCCGGAUCCGGGGCCCUCGAUGCCGGAUCUGUCUCCAAGUGCGGUGGCGGUGGCUUCCCCCACGCGGGGCAGUGGUCACCCUGCCCGGUGCGGAAGCUGCACGAGCGGUGUGCGCCAGGGUGGAUGCCGCGCGGUGGCGGCUGCGUGGGCCAAGGCUGAGCAAGGGGCGAAGUGGGCGGCCGCGGUCCUAUGGCAAGGUGGGGUCAACGUGCAGGCCUCCUUCGAUGACUACCUCCAGGACCGCACCAUGUUCCCCGACGAGAGCAAGAGCCAGCGGAUCAGUGAUGGGGAGUGGCGGGUCCAGAUGCUGCUGCUGCAAUUCCUCCUCGUCACAGUGCGCCCUGUGGUCAUCAUGCAGCUGCAACACCGCACUGGUGGGCUCGACCCCAGUGGCGACAUCUGCAGUCCUCGGCGGUGAGCUCCUAGGGAGCGGUGACAGUGUGAAGGCGACAACGGCGAUCUGGGUGGUGCGGCGGUGGUCCCGAUGCGAGGCAAAGAAGGCACAUGGUAGCAGGGGCCGCUAGGAGGUGGGGACACGGAGGAGGCGCCGAAGGACAAGACGAGGAGGAGGUGUCGGGCAUACACCUCAGGGCCACGAGUAGGCCUUGUACGGCCCACCCAGGGGCGUACUCGGACAUGAGCAGGAGUUGGAAGCUAUGUCACAGGGUAACGUAGCCUACACGGACUACUGAAGACUAGUCUUGGUGCAUAAGGAAACUACUCUACCUAGUUGGAGUAGGACUCUGUAAUCAUAAUCGACUAGGAUUCCACCCUGUAACCCUGCUCCCCCGAUAUAUAAGGGUAGGCAGGGACCCCCUCCAAAGAACCAACUCAUACGCAAUACAAACAUCACACAAGACGUAGGGUAUUACGCGUUCUAGCGGCCCAAACCUGUCUAAAUCGUGUGCCUUGCAUCACCAUCAACUCCUUGAUUCUCGACGUCUCCACCACACAAAAUACCUCCUAGAGGACUCCCUAAGCGGGUUGCCGGUCUAAAACACCAACAGCUGGCGCACCAGGUAGGGGAAGUCGCCGAGUUUCUUAGCGCGAGAUCGAUGGCACCAAUUGUCAUCAAGCCAGCGCUCGCUUUCAAAGCAGGCGCAACUUUCAUCUUCGACUCCUGGCUUUGCAUCACCAACGGCGCCGGAUCCUUCCAGUGCUACCUCAUCGACAACCGGGAGAAAGAGCAUCUCAACGAAAACCCUCUUCGUAAAGAAGCAGACAGCCUCAUCGAGAAAAUCGACAAAUUCAAUCUCAGAUCAAGAUUCGACUACAACUCGAAGUCCAACGACGACUCCGAGUUCGACUACAACUCGAAGUCUGACUAUGACUCCAUUUUUAGUUUCGAGUUCAACCCCAACUUGGGGUCCAACUACAACUCCAAAUCAUAUCCAGGUCAAACUCCAUUCGGACUCCACAACGCAGCCACGGUCCAUCACUCCUUACUCGAAUCCAAUUCGGACUAGAGUCGAAGGAAGACUAUGCUACGACUCGGAUACACCCGAAGAGUUCAUCAGCAACUGCCACAGCUUCGUCGAUGACGACUUCCACGGGCGGCUCGCCGGUGACUUCUCCGACUACGUCGCGGCGCUCACUUAUGACUAUGGGCGGCUUGCUAACAAUUUCUUGGACUAUGUCAUGGUACUCGCCGACGACUACUUCAACAGGUGGCUCACCGGUGACUUCUCUGACUACGUCGUGGUGCUCACUGAUGAGUACGGGCGGCUCACCGACAAUUUCUCAGACUACGUCAUGGCACUCACCGACGACUACUUCGCUUGGCGACACACCGACGAAAACUUUGUCUGCUCACUGACGACUUCUCCGACUACGACACAGCGCUGGCUGACGACUAUGGGCGGCUCGCCGAUGAUUUCUCGGACUACAUCGUGGCACUCGACGACGGCUACUUCGACGGACGGCUCCCCGACGACUAAUCCGACUUUGCGACGUCCCUCGGCGACCCACCGAUGACUACUUCAACUUCGCGCGGGCGCUCGACAACUCGUUGAUGGCUACUUCGCUCGGCGCACACCAACGAAUACUUCGACUGCUCACCGACGACUUCUUCGACUACGUUGCGAUGCUCGUCAACGACUACUUCGACGGGUGACUCGCUAGUGACUACGUCGACUACUUGUCCCGACUAGAAAACUAGUCGGGGCAGAUUUCGCACCAUCAACGACUGGUCGGAACCGACUCCGACUAGUCAGCUUCGUCAACAACCGUCAUGGUUUCAUUGACGACCACCUUGGCUUCAUCGACAAUCAUCGACGAAUCAAGCUAAGUCUCUUUUCUGACAAUUUCCUAGCUUGAUUUCCUCUUGCGCACAAUACGCGCUCUACUCGCUAGAGGGCAGCAAACUCUCGCGCACAACACGCACUCUACUCACCGGAGGGCAGCAAAACUCUUGUGCAAUCGUGCUUGCUUUUUGUCGCAGCAGCGACUACUCACUUUUGUCUUCUCUUAAGAUCACUACUCUUCUCAAGAUGAACUUGCCUUGACACGUGAACGCCUCAGGUGCACCUGUGACGCCAAAUGCUAGCACACAUACACGAGACCACGCUCUUAGUUGUGCACAUAGCAAUGCCCAUACAUGUAUAUGAGACAACGCUCUCACACAUGCAAUGGCUACGGCUAAAUGGGGACUAAGAGCCUAAACGUAAUAGGCUAAAUGCUCGAGAAGAAUAUGAUCAAAAUAAGAGCAUGACACACAAUAUUUCAUAUUGAUCACUGAAUAACUUUCAGUAGUUUCAAUAUUCUACAAAAAUGCUACAUAUUGUACGCAUCUUUUCUUUCAAGUCAAACUUUGGCGAUGACGCUCGUCGUGUCACUAAGCAUGCCUCUAACGGCAUAGACUAGUUCCCGAACUCGGGGACUAAGCACCAAUCACUACUCGGGAUAUCUCUAGUGACUCAGCUAGCUCCUAGGCUCGGGGGCUAGACGCCGCAAAACUACUCGAUGUGGCUCCUACGGCUCGCCCAGCGCAUAAGCUCGGGGGCUGGAUGCCGCAAAACUACUCGGAUGAUGACUUACGCAGAGAUUCAAGAUCCUUGAGAUGAUUAUUCAAUCAAUUCAAGGCUCGAGGGCUGAUAAGCUACACCCAUCAGUUGAUUUUUUGUCAAGCCGGAAGAAAAAGUUUCAAGAUUUUGACCCUCAGCCUGAUUCUACGAGUCAACCUAAGGCUCAGGGGCUCCUCCAUAUGGAGUGUGAUUGUCAUCGCACUAUCAUAUAAAGAUUCAAGACAAAGGCUACUUGAAGCAACGUUACGCAAAGCAGAGAGUACCUUCCAGCCAUGUGACAGUACUCGGUUACUCGAAGGCUAGCCACCACGAGAAGCGCUCAAAAAGCACCAGAUAGUACUCGGGCAACCUCUUCAAGUACUCUGAGCUGUUCCACUCGACUACAAAGUACUCGGGGGCUUGUCAGGCAUACAUCCCCAGCCCCACGAGUAGGCCUUGUACGGCCCACCUAGGGGCAUAGUCGGACGUGAUCAAUACUUGGAGGCUACGUCAUAGGGUAACAUAGCCUAAACGGACUCCUGAAGACUAGUCACGGUGCAUAAGGAAACUAUUCUACCCAGUUGGAGUAAGACUCUGUAAUCGUACUCGACGAGGAUUCCACCCUGUAACUCUGCUCCCCCGAUAUAUAAAGGCGGACAGGGACCCCUUCCAAAGAACCAACUCAUAAGCAAUACAAGCAUCAUACAGGAUGUAGGGUAUUACGCGAUCUAGCGGCCCAAACCUAUCUAAAUCGUGUGCCUUACGUGACCAUCGACUUCUUGAUUCUCGACAUCCCCACCGCACAAAAGACCUCAUAGGGGACUCCCUAGGUGGGUUAUCAGUCUAAAACACCGAUAGGAGGUGCGAUGGACAAUAGUGACCCAUCUAGAAGAGCUGCAUGGAGAGGAUGCCGGUGCAGAGGACGGCAACGUGGAGAUGGUCGUGCAAGCGAUGAGGAGCGGAGCGGCGGCUCGAAUGCCACGAGGCCAUUCUGGUGCCGCGGGAACCACUCACAUGCUGACGUUGUGGUGGUGUGAGGAUCUACGCUGGUGGUAGUGGGGGCCAUUGUCGCAGAAAGCUUUGUGUUUGCGCACAUGGUACAACUGAGAUUAUGACGGCGGCAAGGUGGAGGUGAAGUUAUUAGAGUAGCUCGGUGGGACCAUGUCACCCUGAUGGAAAAUCAUGUCUGGAUCCUUGGUAUGGAGUCCAGCGGUGGAAGUGGUGAGAUCCCCGUUUGCUUUAAGGUGAUGUGUACGAGGAGUUGUGUGUGGCGGUGAAUGUGGCUAGAACCCCACACAUUUUGAGUUGCCUUGGAGGGCCAGGAUCCGGUGCAGUGUUUUGAUGGUUGGUGUGUACGGUGCGAUAGCAGUGCUUCGGCGUUGGGUCCUGCAGUGCGGUGGUCGUUUCAGUGUGGUGCAGUGUGCUCCUCCUUUGACUUAUGCUAAUACAAAGCCGUGGAUUGGGAGAUCGAUGACCGUGUGUGUGUGACCUGAGGACGACGACGACAUGGUAGAGAAGCCCUAGUAGCUACACGACUUGCAGCGGACUGCGACGGCCAGUCCUACGUGGCUUCGGCUGGUUUGGCUGGGACAUCGUCGGGGACGAUGGCGCUAGCGAUGAGGGCUACUUGGCGGCUUUUCCUGCUCAGUGGUGGUGGCAUGGUGGUCGCUGCUAGCUCAAGCGUUAGCGUUGAGUGGCUUUGCGUCGACGACCACCCAUAGAGUUCUUUUUUUGUUUUGAGUUGAGUCGGCAUUAUCUGUUGGGAGCUACUUCGGUGGCUCUGUUGUUAUACCCAGUCUAGGAUCUUUCUUCUUUUUAAAUAAUCGACAGCUCUCCUGCCUGGUUUGUUUGAAAAAAAUUCAAAAAUACGGUUGGAUGUAAGAUUAACGAGUUAAUCUUCAUGUAGCAUGUACAUAGACAUGUAACCAAGAAACACAAACUUUUUUACAACGGAACUCAAGUGUAUUUGAGUUGUACAGGCAGAGAUAUGACUAUAGAAAUUGGGGAAGCAGCACUUUGCAUGUAAUAUAGGGUUGAAUAAAUCACCUCUACCGUGGUUUAUACGUCAGUACUGUACAACAAAACCUGGCCACCAUCCCUAAAUUACAUGAUAAAAACUCUAUCAUCUACAACCAACAACUCUAGGUACGGUAGUUGUACACAUUACACGAUAUUGGUACGUAUGUUUAACUUGACCUGAAUGCAUAUGUUUAACCUUGGAGAAGAUAGUCCGAUUCAACCCUUAGAAAUCCUUUAAGAGAUGUGUCCAUGUUAAUCUUGCUACUACUAAUUGGAGAUACCGGAGGAUUCUCAAGUUAAGACGCAUGGGCGGCCGUGCUAGAAAAAAUAAGAUCUCAAAAACUCAUGAAAACAGAAAUUGCACCUCAUCACAAGGUGGACACGGUGCCCUACUGCAGCCCAAGCAACUACUACACUUGCAUUGGUGUUCUUUUCAGACAGUGCUCGCUGCAGGACAAAACGCUGACAGAGAUUUGUUGUUGCCAUUCUAGAAUCGUUUUAGCUGUGGCUUCGUUUCAUUCAGGAUUAAUUUGCAAAAAAAAUGUAUUUUCAGUGGAAAAUAAUGUAACCAGAUUGGCUCGAUUGCCCCAGAAAGAUAUAAUAACUCCAUGCAGUAACAUAUACAUGGUCAUACUUUAAUUAUUGUGCGUACAGUUGUACUACAGCAAGGCAUAUAUCUUAGCUGUCUCUUCGCUUUAACUAAAGAAUUGGAUGCUAGGAUGAAAGAUCCAUGGUUUGGGGCCACUAUUACUAGCUUUCUGCUGAUAUUGAUAACGAACGUAGGAUGGCAUGGGUUCCCUCCCUUUCUACAAAUGGGAGAGAACCCUGGUAUCCUUCUUUCGCUAUCAAUAUCAGCAGGAAUCUUGGCCCCAAAAGAGAGGACCUAAUGCCUUCAUCAUUAUGUUUUUCUUUUGACGCUUUCAUUCUAGCAUCGAUCCUAUUCUUUAGCUAAAGCGAAGCAAUAUUUGAGAUAUAUGCAUUGCUACAGUAUCUAUAAUAAUUGAAGUUCGAUCGUUGAUGUACACAGUAAUGUUAUAUUCCUCUAACAACAUUGAUCGAUGAUAUGCAGAGACAAGUAUCUAAAUUUUAGCUCCAAGUAAGUUUUAACCAAAAGUUUAUCUUAAGGGGUUCCACGACCCAAAUCUGUACUCCCCUAAAAAUAAACUUCAAUGGUAGUCCGACGGACUAUAGGGCCACCUGAUUAAACCUAUGAUUAACGACCAACAUAUCUAUCACUUACUCUCACUAUUUCCUUAUUAUUUGGUGAACCGCUUAGUGGAAACAAUCUAUAGAAGAAAAAUGUGUUGGAAACUAAUCUUGACAUGUUUUUCAUCCAUGCGUUAGUUGUGAACGCGCAUGAGAAGAUUAAUCAAGCUACAUGCAUGUGUGAAAGGGUUACAUGCAUGUGUGUGAAUGCAGUGCAUGCAUGCGCGUAUGGAGAAGACUAGGAUCUGCAUGCAUAUGGAAGCUUAGGGAGUUAUGUGUUACUCAAAGAGUCUCUAGACAAUGUGAAUCGAACGUGUCUUGGUACACUGGUAGAAAACUGAGUAUUAGUCCCAGUUGGAACGUUGCAAAUCUCCCAAAAAACCAUCCGGGAUAAAGCAAUCGAGAUAAAAGGGGGUGUCUUUUAUCCCAGGUCCCUCAACCGGGACUAAAGACACCCUUUAGUCCCAGUUGGUAAUACCAACCAGGACUAAAUGGUUUUGCAAAAAAAAUUAAAAAAUAAAUAAAUUCCUGUGGGGUCCUAGGGAGGCCUCCCCGCGACAAGCCACAAGUCAUGCGAUUUUCACGCGAAAUAUGCGCAUGCGCGGCUCGUGGGAUUCGAACCCACGACCUCAAGCCUCGCGCGUAGCUUCCUUGCCAUCCAACCUACACAUCAUAUCUAACUAUAUAGGGGAUCCAAUCCUUUUAUACUAACUUGUGGGGAACCCUUUAAUCCCGGUUGGAGAUACCAAACGGGAUAAAAGACCCCCUUUUAUCCCGGUUUGCAUUACAAACUGAGAUAAAAGGGUCUGGAACAUUUAUUCCUUCCCCGGAGCACAUGUGGGGGACCAUUUUAUCCCAGUUGGAAACACCAACCGGGAUAAAAGACCCUAUUUUAUUCCGGUUGGUAUUACAAACCGGGAUAAAAGGGUCCGAGGCCUUUAGUUCCUUUUCAGCCACCCGUGAGGGACCCUUUUAUCCCGGUUGGAGUUUCCAACCGGGAUAAAAGACCCCAUUUUAUCCCGUUGGUGUUGUGAGCUUUAGUCCCGGAUGAUAACACCAACCGGGAUUAAAAGGGUGACCUUUAGUCCUGGUUAUUCUUACCAUCCGGGACAAAAGGGUCCCCCACAGGUAGCUAAUUUUUUCACCCGGGACUAAAGGGUCCCCCACGGGUGGCUGAUUUUUGAACUGGGACAAAAGGUAACUUUUAGUUCCGGUUGCAAAUACCAACCGGGAGUAAAGCUCUGCGAACGCCCUUUUGUACCAGCCUUCUUUAAACCGGGAUUAAAAGGAAGCGCAUCGAAAGUUAGUUCUCUACUAAUGGUAGUGUGAAACCCGGUAGUUCCUCAGCUUCUCCUGCUUCGAAUCUGAACUCCCCUCCCCGUGCUGACAGAAAAAGGGGUAUUUAUACCCUAGAGACGCCAUGGUAUAAAAGAGAAGUGGGCGAGGUGAAAGCCCAUGCCGAUCGGCCUAGGUGGGUCCAAGCCGAUCGACCUGGCCCUUCCUUUCAUCCCCAAUUGCUCAAUGGAAACUCUCAUUUCAUCAAGUCUCUCAAAGCCUAUGCUAGAACAUUGUCAACCUAUUCUACUUACAAACAAGUGGUAGGCUUAUCUGGAUCUUGGUAGGUAGAAACAGUCCUUGCAAAGUAUAAUAGUCAGAAUAUUAUCAAAUUAGGAAACACUUCUAUUGGGUUGUCAAAAAGGUCAUGGAGAAAUAGUUGCUUAUAGAGAGAGAAUGGAACACACACUUUUUUAGAUGGCGGACAUGUGCAAGGGAAAAUAGGUGAUCCCGAGACACAAAUGAAGUUAUUGUUAUCGAGUUGCAUAUGGUUAGAAAAUUUUAGUGUUAACCCUGCUCUUAAUCAUAUGUAACAAGACAUGGCACUCCAUUUAGAUGUUCAAUUAAUAUUCUAGCUUAUUAUUAUGGAGGAUAGACAUUUUUCAAUGAUGAACAAGCCACAAAGAAUUUAGAACAAUGCUCUCAAAUUUAAAUCAACUUCAGAACUUUUCUUUCAAUGGAGCAUAAUUUUCAAACAGGACUAGAUCAACAUCAGCAACAGAAUUCUUGCAAUUGCUCAAUGGAAACUCUCAGCUCAUCAAAUCUCUCAGAGCCUAUGCUAGAACAUUGUCAACCUAUUCUACUCAUAUAAACAAGUGGUAGGCUUAUCCGGAUCUUGGUAGGUAGAAACAGUCCUUGCAAAGUAUAAUAGUCAGAAUAUUAUCAAAUUAGGAAAUACUUCUAUUGGGUUGUCAAAAAGGUCAUGGAGAAAUAGUUGCUUAUGGAGAGGGAGAGACUGGAACACACACUUUUUUAGAAUGUUGACAUGUGCAAGGGCAAAUAGGUGAUCCCGAGACACAAGUGAAGUUCUUGUUAUCUAGUUGCACAUGGUUGGAAAAUGAGUAUGGAUUUACCUUUAGGGGACUGGGAAAUUUAUGAAGCUCAAAGAACUAUUGAGAAUUUUUAUUAUCAUCUUUCUUUUUGCUCUUUUUCUUCUUUUUCUCAUCUCAUUUUUAAUUUUAUUUUUUAAUUUUUUUCUUUUGCUUCCUUAGAACUUUUUGCAACAUAAUACUUACUUAGCAGUGGUCAGAGAUAACGCGAUGACUCCAACCCCCAUGCUUGAACGAUGCUCGUCCUCGAGUAUGAAAGAGAGAACUAUUGUGACCCUUUUGAGAUUCAUUUGAUGCUUUCAUGAUCAAGAUCACCUGCACUCCACCUAUAUAUGCUAAACUCCUACACUAGUAGUUCACAACAAUUAUCACCCAUCCAUUCCACAAAAUAAAUACUCCACUACAUAUGUUGAUUUCUCUCAAGUUAUCAUUACAAAAGAAACAUGGGCUAUUGAAAAAGAGAGGGACACAUGAAGGUCCCAGUAUAGAAAAAAAUAUGAACACAUGAAGGUCCAAGUAUUAAAAAAAUGAAGAAAAAAAGGAGUCGGACACAUGAAGGUCCAAGUAUGUGAAUAAAGUGGAAGAUAGCCAUGUUCUCAAUAUUAAAUAUGUCCAAAGGGAGAGAGAUUAUAUAAAAUGGAGUUUCCAUACAUUCCCUAUCCACCACCCACAUAUUCACACACAUGCACAUCUUGAUCUGAUUGUAUGACUUGUUUUCUCCUUAAAUCCGGUUUUUGAAUUUGCAAUAUAUGUAAUACAAGUAUGCUUUAUUUUCAUCCCCUACCUUGAGCUCCACAAAAAGCUUUAUUAGAAGUAGGAAGGAAAAGAGGCAAACAAAUGCCUCGGUAAGGAACCAUACACAUUGAGCGAUCUGAGAUAAUCAUUCGAGGAGCAAGUCUAUGCUUUGUUCUGAGAAUAUUUCAAAAACCUAAGAUAUCUGAGUACGAGAAGUUUGUUACUUCUCUUCUUCCUUUUUAUAUAUGUGCUCUUUUAUUGUACACAAUACUAAGCUAUACUACUGUUCAAAAAGGACUAGUAUACAAAUAUUUGACGGUUAAGAUUAAUUGUAUACUACUGAAACCUUCACCUGUGGUAUGGGUAGUAUACAUGACUAGUAUAAGGGUAUUAUGGUAAAAGAACACAAAUGAUAUCACUAAAAUUUUAUUUUUGACACUAGCAUAAAGUUUAAAAUGCCAUUUCAUUUGAAAUAUCACUUUUCACAUGUAAUAAUUACUAAAUCAUGAAUAUUUAUAUCUUAUAUAUACUUAUAUACUACUAAGUAGUAUAAGCAGCAGGGGAUUACCCCUCGUGUUCCUAAAGAUAAAAUAGAUUACAACUCCAGCGGACGUGCUACAAUUCUUCAGGGCGCCGUGCCUGCCCUGAAAAAUUCCUGAAUGAGGGACGAUUUGCCGAUGAAUACUGCUGAAAUCAACAAGCUGGCCAAGAGCCUUAAAAAGUGGUUGAAUGUUGAAAGCUAAAGUAAGCAAAGCGCACUUGAUCAGUCCAACACACAACUUCCACAAAUUAAACAUGAGCUAGCACGAAGCAGUUCAUCACGAGAUCGACACACGACUGUGCGGACAUGAAGUUGUUGAUGCAUGCGGUCUCUGAUCAUCACGUACCAGCAGGCGGUGAUUUACCAUUACCGCCUGCCACUGCUGGCGGAGGAGACGGUGCCGGCGGAGUGCUCCCCCAUGAGACCGGGUACUCCAGUUCUUCUUCCGUCUUGCAAGGGACCUUGCCGCCGUCCGGGGUGCUUGCAUCGCUACGGAGGAAGGUAACCGGCCAGCAGUAAUAGGUCUUGUUGAUGAUCUUCUCCGAGUGAGCACGCUUGUAGCUGGUCUCCACCACCACCAUCACGGGGAAGCUGCGGUGGUGCCUGUCGGAGAGGUAGUGCACCGACGCGUAUUGUCCUUGCCUGUAGAGGCUUACCCACCUCCUGUACCUGUGCGAGCUGUGCGGCUGCAGGUCGAAGAUGACGUUCGUCUCCGGCUGGUACCAUAAGAACUGCACCAUCUCCGUGAAGGAAGCAUUGGGGUUGUCUAUGACCCUGAUGAUGCUGAUGUUGCACUGGAUCUGGCCGCGGCCGCUGGGGUUGAGGGCGUCGACGAUGAUCAGCAUCGGCACCUCUCCCGCUGGCGAGUACACAGACGUGGUGUUGUCGUAAAUCCACCACCAUUGUUGUGUCUGGACAUAGCCGUAGCUCUGGAGGUCCAUCUCCACGGGGCGGUUGACGAAGACGAUCACCAUCACCACCACCGCGACGGCGAGCACGGAGACCACGACGGCCACCAGUGAGCGCACCGUGGCUAGGAAGGGGAAUGUAGUGUUCUGGCCAGCGCGGCAUGUUGCCAUUUUUUCUCACGUAGGUAGCUAGGGCGGUGGAUGAUGGACUUGUCCGCUAGGGACCUGCAGCCAUAUAUACACAUAAAUUACUGACCGAAUGUUCAUUCCCUUUUUUUGGUUAGAUGACUCAGAUUAGUCUACCGGUUAACAGGGGGCUUGGCUAACAAUUAGGCUGCCUAUUAACCUCCUGUUAGGAUCAGCCAUGGCAAAGUUUUGACGGUUAACGAUCUCCCUAUAUAUCUAAACAAGUUCUUAGGUCAUGUUCCGUUCUUUAGGAGCUCCUAAAAUUCAUGUCACAUUCGAUGUGACAUGAAUUUUAGUCUGGACUAAAGAACCAAACACCCCAUUACUCCCCUCCCCCUCCCACCUCCCACACCAAUGUUCAAAAUUUUGGCCGAAAUUUCAUGAAAUUUGAUCUUUUGGUAGUGACCGAAAUUACUAUUUGCCCGAAAUUUCGGUAUGUCAACCGAAAGAUGCACUUUUUGCACCAAAUUUCACAUGAAAUUUCAUGAAAUUAGGUGUUUUCGAUGGGGACUGAAACUUUUCUGAAAACAAAAUCCCAAUCCCUGCCCCACACCGUCCAAGUAGAAUUAGGACACACUCUUUAUACAGUGAUAAUUCAGGCUUCUGCCAACCACAGGAACCGGAGUUGUUUAAUUUUUUGGCAAAAUGUCGUGCAGAUGCUUACAUACAAAGCAUUCGUACAUGCACCAAUUAUGAGUACUUCUGCAACACCGUGUCAUUAUGCUUUCAAUAUCUGGUCUUUAAAAACCUUAGAUUUACCUAUGAUGACUUGGUUAAUUAAUCUCAAGAUCAUCUGCUACCUAGAGUUUUGGUGGCACUGGAUCAUAGGGCACAGUUGUAUGUGUAUUCAUCAGAAUGAGUGCAUGUGCAUCUAUAUGAUGUCCGUGUUUUUUUUAAAAAAAUAAACCUGCGCAGGUCAUGAUGCUUCCACUAUCCUGUCUUAUCUGUUUGGAUACCAGGGGCUAUACUUUAGCUCCUGUCAUAUCAGAUGUUUGAUACUAAUUAGAAGUAUUAAAUAUUGACUAAUCACAAAACUAAUUGCACAGAUGGAGGCUAAUUCGCGAGACGAAUCUAUUGAGCCUAAUUAGUCCAUAAUUUGACAAUAAGGUGCUACAGUAACCAUUUGUUAAUGAUAGAUUAAUUAGGCUACGUCUCGCGAGUUGGUCCAGAAUUUGUGCAAUUAGAUUUAAAAUUAGCUCAUGUUUAAUUCUCCUAAUUAGCAUCAAAACAUUAACUGUGACAAGGGCUAAACUUUAGCCAAGGACAACCAAGCAACAUGCACGCCUAUAUAUGCUCUUUGAUCAGAAAAGGAAAGAAAUAUUCCCAAAAAAAAGGAAUAUGUGCUGCGGUCCAUACACGUUCUUUGAAGAAAUAUUCCAUACUUAUUUUAUGUCAUUGUAGAAGGACUUUGAAUAAGGUUCGAUGGAGUCACGUGGCUGCGUCUGCUGGCAGCUGAUCGAUGAGUCAUAUUACUAUUGGACUUGUGUUUUGGAUGCUUAUGUUUUGGAUUACAUUCAGAAUGUACGGGCAGGGGCGAAGCCACGUAUAAGAUUUUUAUUUACCACUAAUUAGACUCAAAAUUACCAUAUAAUCCUAGCUUGUAAAUUAAAAUUUACAAGUCUCUUGAGCAGUGCACCACGGUCAAUUCAGCGCUAGCUUCGCCCCUUUGUACGGGGAUUAUGCAACCCAGAAACGACGACUAAGAGCCUCAUUUCCGGACAUGCGUCCCUAUGAUCCUUUAUAUACUCCAAAUGUCUGAGUGGCCGGCUCAUACUUGCCAUGGCGAUGUCUAUCCCUCCUCUCAAAGGAUGGAGCAGCAAGCUCCUUGUAGUUGCGGCCAUGAUAGGAACCCUGGUCGUGGUCGCCAUCGCCGCCGUCAUCAUCGUCGGCCUCACUCCGCCACUGGUCUUCUUCUCCAUCCAAGAUGCAAGCCUCCAAGGCGGGCAGUUGAAACAGCAAAAAUUCUACAACUUCACCCUCUAUGCCAACAACACCAGCCGGCGCAUGGAGGUGCACUAUACCAACCUCAACACCGAGAUCUGGAUAGCCCCGUCUGAGUGGUACCCGGCCGAGGUGAGCAUGAGCGGGUUCGAGCAGCCACCGGUGAGCAUCAACGGGUACAAGCAGCCACCGGACAACGUGACCAAGGUCGCCGGGUGGGCCGAGUUCUAUCAGACGACGUCGUUGACGGCGGCGGCGCAGGGCGGCGGCGCGGGGAAUUGGCCAAACUGCACUGUGGUGGUGAUGGCCAAGGUGUUGUUCAAGGUCGGGCUGGCACGCACACGGCCGUACCACAUCAGGGUGUUCUGCUUCCCCGUCAACUUCCUCAAUACGACUCGGUACGCCAAUUGUACAUACUGAUCUCGAUCGACGUGUAUGCAUGCAUCCAUGUUGUUGAACGUGUACAUGACUGUUGUGACGUGCUCCUUUACCAUAGCUUCAGAUCCUGACUUGUAGCAUUGACAGAGUAUGCGUCUAUUAUGGCAGAGAGCCUCUUGUACAUGUAUUUAACUCAAUCCAGAGAUCAAUAAUGAAAGGAUGCGGUUUUUUUUUAGGAAACAGGAGGGGAAGUACCCCUGCUGAUUAUAUAUUAAUAUAUAGUUGACAGUACACUAGUGAUACAAACCUUGUUUAUGACACAAAGAAAGAAACAAAAAAGAUUAAGAAAAUUACAGUGAAUGCUCUAACCAUUGAACCAUUGAUUGUUUCCAAGACUCUCUGACACGAAAUACUACCAAACUGAAAAUCUGUUUGAACCGUUCCUUUGCAGCUUGAUAAGCUGGCACUAGGGCCUUUGAAGAUGCAGUCAUUGCGUGUCAUCCAAAUACUCCAGCUCAUAAUUACGAUAAUUUCCAUAAAGAAAGGCACUUGCAACUGGUUCCAGCUCAUAAUUACGAUAAUUUCCAUAAAGAAAGGCACUUGCAACUGGUUCCAGAAGCUAACGAGAAUAUCAUAAGGUUGUUGCUGCAAAUCCACAAAGAGGCCGAGAUUGAUCCAACACUCCUGUGCGAAUGGACAAUCUAGUAAUAGAUGAAAGAGGGUUUCUUCCUUGUUGUGGUUCCAGAGGACGCAGUUAUAGGAAGGGAGAGCCAUCUGCUUUCGUUUAAGCUCCACUGGCGGCAGAGCCGCAUCCUGUGUCGGCUCAUCCGCGGCAUCCUGUGGGUGCGAAGCAUGCUAAGCCACCCUAACCUCUGCUUCAAGCAGCUCUCCGUGCUAGGGUUCUUCCAACUGUCGUCGCCUUCGCCGUUCAUGGUGCCAACCAAGGCAGUGCCCAAGGAGGUAAUUAAAGAUUUCUUCAUCGGUAAUGUCGCGCGGUUCUUGGUUUCAAGUACUGCCUGUAUUUUUUUAUUUUUUAUUUUUGCCUUGUCAUUUGGUCCGUCAGAACUAAGUUUGUCGAAUUCCUUCUGAAUAAGCUUGAGACGCUGGUCGUGCUUGUUUGUUGGUGUGCCUACGUGCCGCGUAGUUGUCGUAGCAAAUACUUUCGGUUCCAUAUCGCCUGUGACUGGACCGGGAUGUUCUUCAAUCUGUUAUGGCCCUGUAUUCUGUUUUUAUAUGGAUCCCACAUAUAAUCAAUUUCCAACAUUUGCUUUCCUCUGUACAUUCAGCAUGUUGUCUUUUUUUUUUUUUUGAAGCGCAUUCAGCAUGUUUCGCAGAUGUUUGGAAGGAUGAUCCAAAUUCUGAAUGCACAGACCCUGUUGGGAAAUUGAUUUCCCCACUGCGUGUCUGUGUUUACAUGCAUCUUCUAACUGUGGUUCCAAUGGCCCGUCUAGGCCCAUACAGGCCUAUCAGGUGGAUGGGCCGGCCGGCCUCCUGGAUCAACAAGACCGGUAUCCCUUCUUGGCCCGUCCGCCCCCGCUGUAGAAACAAAACCAGAACCAGCAGAUCCCCCGGGCCCUGAAGAGAAAGACGAUGGCAACAGAAGAAAGAGCUCGCGACGAAGCCGGCGAAAGCCCCCCAAACCCUCCCCAGCCCAGGCAGCGGCGGCGCGACGAGAUGGCCGACGACCCCACCGCCGGCGGCGGGAACACCGUCGAGGACGUCGUCCGCGCGGAGGUGAGCAUCCCCGGCCGGCCCUCGUCCUCUUUGCUGCGAGUGCCGGGGAAUCCGAUCUCCGCCCGGGCCGACCUGGCUCUGCUCGGCUGCCUCCCGAUCUGCCCGCGCGGGUGGCGGCGCCUCGCCCCUAGUUCGGUUUCGGGUUAGAGGUGUCCCAGCGUGGUGUCUGGGCGGGGGGAAUCCGGCGACGAGGCGUUCUCCCUCCCGUUGGCUCGGUUGGCGCGGACGGACGCGGUGGGCCUGGUUGGGGAAAUCUGUGCCCGUUUCGAUUUGGGUGUAGAAUAGGUAUACGUCUUCAAAAUUGAUAGAAUUAGGCCCGUUUAUAAAAAAUUGAUAGAAUCUGCCUGCAAGGCGCGGUUUCCCAGCUGGCCCGUCCUCAUUUACUAAUCCCCACCAAGCUUAGCAUCUUUCCUUUCGAUGAAAUAAAAAAAUGUUAAUGUCAACAGCUCCUCGAUUACCGCAUAGAUUAACACCUCUUUAGCCUUUGUGGCACGGCACCUAAUACUUUCCUCACCUUUGCAGUGCCGUGGGCCCGCCACUUCCCUUCUGGCCCACAAGUCAUGGAGGCGCGCGAGGAGGGGUAUCGGUUUCACGAUGAUUAAUCAAGAAAGGCCCAAGACACGUCACGCUGGGGGUGGGGGAGGGAAGACACCGCACCGCAUGCACCUGCAUGCACCUUUGCCUUUGCUUUUCCCCGGCGUCCUAGGGACCUCGAGCUCGCCCGCCUAGGAGCUCCAGCAGCCGGGCCGCUCCGCCGCCGGUGCGGCAACCACGCCGCCGUCAGACCACCUCGCGCGGCCACCCCGCGCCGGUGCGCCGUGCGCGGCGGUGCUGUCCCGCCGCUCCUCCGCCUACCGUCCUCCUGCGCCACCACCAGCUAGCGCACCGGCAGCACCGCGAGCUGCCGCGCCGCCCCGACGACGUUGGUCAUUCCGGAGCCCGGUGUCGUCACCAGCGUCGCCGGAGAAGGUAAUUACCUGAAGCAAUUUGUAGAAACGAAUAGUACUGGUUCGUUCACUUAUUUCAUUGCUCAAACUUAAUUUCUGCUUAUUAGAGUUUGUGCCUUGUCGUGAGACUAAAUUAGCUGCUUAUUCUGCAGGUUGCAUUCAGGAGAUCGAGCUGCCGGAUCGGAGGAGGUCAUAUCAGCCGUGUUGGUUGUGCACUUGUGUUGCUGCCGGCGGAGAAGGAACCAUGGUGAUCGGGCCACUGAUCUCCAUAAUGUAGUUGAACUAAAAUAAUCCCCUUCUGAGUUUAGCAUCUUUCCUUUGGAUGAAAUAAAAAAUUGUUAUUCCGGAUCCGUAAUCUCAACUGCUCCUCCAUUACACAUAGCAUCUUUCCUUGAGUUUAGCAUAUUAUUUCAACAUUUCAAAACUCUAGAUUCAACAUUUCUUGAAACUUAGUGCAACAUUUUAGAUAAAUCGAUUCAACAUUUAGCAUAGUAUUGUUGAAAAUGUUGAGCUAGUAUAUGUUAUUUCAACAUUUCUGCAAAGCUAGCUCAACAUUGAGGUAAUGUAGUUCAACAUUUUGUGUAGUAUUGUUAAAAUAGUGUAUCUAAAAUGUUGAGCUAAUACACAAAAAGUGUUGAGCUAGUAUAUAUUAUUUAAACAUUUCAAAAGUCUAGAUUCAACAUUUAUGGAAACCACAUUUUAGAUAAACUGGUUCAAUAUUUUGCAUAGCAUUGUUGAAAUAGUGUACCUUAAACGUUGAGCUAAAUAUAUAAAAAUGUUGAGCUAAUAUAUCUAAAAUGAUGAAACUAAGAAAAUAAAAAUGAAAAAAAUAUAUACAGUCAUGUGGGAUCUUAAUCCGUUAGAAAAAUUUCGAAAAGGCUCAUAGUUUAAUCGGAAUUAAAAUUAAAUGCACCGUUAGAGAGAUAAGUAAGUUGAAAAGUUCGAAAUCAAAACUCACAUCACCCAACAAGUAGCUGAAACCUAUCCGUCCUUUCAGCAGCUCCACCCACCUCGCACCAGCAUACUAGCACAUGGUGGUCCCCAGCCACCUCGAUGCCGUUGCGUCGAAGGAGAGGGCGGAACCGACGAGGGUCGCCGGCGGCUCCCACCCCGGCCGAACGCGUCCUGACCGACUCCGGCAGGGGGCGGCAGGGCCUCCCGCAGGUGAGCGCUUCCAUCCGUGGUCCGCAGCAGUAAUGUCUGAUUUUUCGCUUUCUUCUCCAGAAUUCGUCGCAUAUACUUAUAUGUCAUCGUCCUCUUAUUUUUCGCUUUCUUCUCCAGAAUUCGUCACAUAUACAAAGCUUUCACGAUUUCGAUGAGAGAUUUGGUCAUGUUUGUGGCCACGGAGACACAGUCUAGCUAGCGUAGUGAAAAGUGGCACUAGUGAUUGCAAUACGCACGGAAAUUGGUUUUUUGUCUGUUCUUUCUCCAUCUCAAUCAUCAAUCAAAUGGGGGUAGUCGUCGGUACGCCGGGUGGGCCGAGUUGGCCAAACUGCACAGUGGUGGUGGCAGCCAAGGUGUUGUUCAAGGUCGGGCUGGCACGCACACGGCCGUACCAUAUCAGGGUGUGUCCUGCUUCCCCGUCAACUUGGGGAGGUGGGCCAAGCGACAGCUAGCUGUGGUGUGGUGGGCAUCCAGCAGGCGCGCAGGGCCCAGCCGUGGCCGUGAUUAUGCGCCGGGGUGAGAGAAGAAGACACGGCACCUAAUACUUUCCUCACCUUUGCAGUGCCGUGGGCCCACCACUUCCCUUCUGGCCCACAUGUCAUGGAGACACGUCAGGCUGUGGUGGACAAGGGAAGACACCGCACCGCACGCACCUCCACCACUUGCCUUGCCUUUGCCUUCGCUUUUCCCACUUGUGCUGUGGGAAGACACCGCAUACACCUCCAGCUCGAGCUCGCCCGCCUAGCUAGGAGCUCCAGCAUCCGGUCCGCUCCGCCGCCGGUGCAGCAACCACGCCGCCGUCAGACCGCCUCGCGCGGCCACCGGUCGUCCCCGCGAUACACCGCCGCCGGUGCGCCGUGCGCGGCGGCGCUGUCCCGCCGCUCCUCCGCCUACCGUCCGCCUGCGCCACCACCAGCGCACCGGCAGCACCGCGAGCUGCUGCGCCGCCCCGACGUUGGUCCUUCCUGAGCCCGGUGUCGUCACCAGCGUCGCGGAGAAGCUAAUUACCUGGAGCAAUUUGUAGAAACAAAUAGUACUGGUUCGUUCACUUAUUUCUUUGCUGAAACUUAAUUUCUGCUUAGAGUUUGUGCCUAAAUUAGCUGCUUAUUCUGCUGGUUGCACGCAGGAGAUCGAGCUACGGGCGUACGGCCGGAUCGGAGGAGGACAUAUCAGCCGGGUUCCUGUUGGUUGUGUACUUGUGUUCCUGCCGGCAGAGAAGCAACCAUGGCCGAGUUACUGAUCGGGCCACUGAUCUCCAUGGUGAAGGAGAAGGCAUCCAGCUACCUGCUGGACCAAUACAAGGUGAUGGAAGGCAUGGAGGAGCAGCGCAAGACCCUGGAGCGCAUGCUGCCAGCAAUCCUGCAAAUCAUCCAGGAUGCGGAGGAGAAAGGAGCCUCCCGAUCUAAAGUUGCAGUUUGGCUUAAAGACCUCAAGACAGCGGCCUAUGAGGCCAACGACGUCUUUGAUGAGUUCAAGUACGAGGCGCUUCGGCGAGAAGCCAAGAAGAAGGGCCACCAAAGCAAGCUUGGAGCGGAGGUAGCAAGACUCCUAGUCCCCGCUCGUAAUUCCAUUGUAUUCCGUUACAGGAUGGGCAAGAAGCUAAGCAGGAUUGUGCAGACCAUCGAGGCCCUGGUCACCGAGAUGAAUAAAUUUGGUUUCAGACACUUGCAGCAAGCACAGCCAUCAAGGCAGUGGCGACAGACAGAUUCCAUAAUCAUUGACUCCGACACAGAUAUUCUUAGCAGAUCUAGAGAUCGGGAGAAGAAGAAAAUCGUGGGGAUGCUCCUUGAUCAAGCUAGCAACAUGGAUCUCAUGGUUCUUCCAAUUGUUGGGAUGGGUGGGAUGGGCAAGUCCACCUUUGUGCAACUCAUUUACAAUGACCCUGCAAUCGAGAAGCACUUUGAGCUUCGGAGGUGGUGCUGCGUGUCAGAUGAUUUCGAUGUCAGUACCAUUGCAAGCAACAUCUGCCAGACCAAUGAGAAAUAUCGUGAAAAAUCAUUGCAGGAGCUCCAGAGUACAAUAAGUGGAAAAAGAUACCUCAUUGUGUUAGAUGAUGUAUGGAAUCGGGAUGCUGAUAAGUGGGGAAAACUAAAGACCUGCCUUAAGCAGGGUGGCAAGGGCAGUGCGGUACUAACAACAACUCGUGAUGCAGAAGUGGCUCGCAUUAUGACCAUGGGUGUAGCUCAAGCCCAUAAUAUCGAGAAUCUGAGUGACGAGCAUUUAAAGGAAAUUGUCCAGAGCAGAGCAUUCAGCUUGCAAAAUCCAAAUAUGGAAGAGCAAGAUGGCAUUCUCAGUGGAUUUGUUCGUCGAUGCGUUGGAUCUCCCUUGGCUGCCAAAGCCUUUGGCUCUAUGUUGAGUAACAGGACUAGUGUAAAUGAAUGGAAGGAUGUAUUAGCUAAAAGUGACAUUUGUAGUGAGAAAACCGGAAUUUUACCGAUCCUCAAGCUCAGUUUUGAUGACCUAUCCUCAGAUAUGAAGCAGUGCUUUGCAUUUUGUGCUUUAUUUCCUAAAGAUUAUGAGAUUGAUGUGGACCUCUUGAUUCGACUGUGGAUGGCACAUGACUUCAUACCUGUGCAGGAGGAUGACAAUCUAGAAACCAUAGGAAAAUAUAUUUUUGAGGAGCUAACUCGGAGGUCAUUCUUUCAAGAUGUCAGGCAAACACUUCAAUUUGACUAUUUUGGAAGCAGGUUGUCGCUUCGUAAGUCAACCAUAUGCAAGAUACAUGAUCUCAUGCAUGACAUUGCUCUAUCUGUUCUGGGGAAAGAAUGUGUCACUAUAGUUGGUAAGCCGAGCGUCAACAAGCUGUUGCUAAAUCCGACCCGCCACGUCUUCUUAUCACUAUAUGGUUUCAAUCCUACUUUCUGGAAAGAACAGGUUACAAGUCUACUAGAUCAUCUAUUGAAGAAACAAACUGCAAUGCUCCAUACGUUGUUUAUCAAAGAUUAUGGUCAACCCCUUGAUAUAUCAAAGUACACUUCACUGCGAGCAUUACACCUUCCAGCAAAUGAAGAGCUAAGGUAUCCUAAUCUGUCGCCACAUGAACAGCUUACAAGACACAUACAACACCUAAGGUAUCUUAAUCUGUCAUCACAUUGGUUCGAGAAACUUCCUGAAGGUAUAAGCAUUAUGUAUCAUCUACAAACGUUGGACCUCUCUCAUUGCAAAUACCUUCGUCACCUUCCAAAGGAUAUGAAGUAUAUGGCAAACCUCCGACACCUCUAUACCCAUGGAUGCAUAUCAUUGACAUGCAUGCCUCCAGGACUUGGACAGAUCACUUCUCUGCAGACUCUAACAUAUUUUGUUAUUGGUGAUGGCUUGGGAUGUAGUACUAUUGGGGAACUUCAAAACUUAAACCUUGGUGGAGAGUUAGAGUUAAGUGGUCUGCAAAAUGUAACAGAAGUGCUUGCAAAAGCAGCCAGUCUUGAAAAUAAAGAGAGACUCACACACUUAUCUCUCGCGUGGAAUGAUGAUGCCCGUGAGAAACCAGAUUCUCAUAAUGAGGUGUUAGAUGCCCUUAAACCUCAUCACCGGCUAGAGAUGCUAAGAAUAAAGUCCUACAAAGGCACCAAAUUACCGUCAUGGAUAACAGAUCUUAGUCUGUUGCAGCACUUGACUGAGCUCCAACUGGUUGGUUGUAGGCUGUGCGAGGAAUUUCCUCAAUUCUGCCAUUUCAAAGCCCUUGAAGUUCUGUAUUUGAAAAAGUUGGACAAAUUGCAAAGCCUAUGCAGUCAUAUGGUGUCUACGCCAUUUCCAGCACUGAAGCAACUCCAGUUACAUGAUUUGGAGAGCUUGGAGAGAUGGGUCGCAACAGAAGGAAAAGAAGAUGAAUUAUCCUUUCCUGUACUUGAGGAGGUUGAAAUAGAGAACUGUCCAAAGUUGACUAGCCUACCUGAAGCACCAAAGCUCAAGGUUGUAAAGCUGGAUGAAGGCAAGCCGCUGCUCUCCUUAGGAAUAGUUAAAUCAAGGCACAUGUCUUCAAUUUCUAAGCUACUACUGCGUGUCCGUGACACAGAAGCACUGCCUCAGAUAGAUUAUAAUUGGGAUUCAUCACAGAAACUGGAACUAUCUUUGGGUGGCACAGAAGCCGCACCUCUGUCACAACUGAGCAUAUUUGGCUGCAACUUUUUAUUCGUAUCAAGCCACUCACAGCUAACACCUGGGGUCUGGAAAUGGUUUGAACAUCUUGCAGUUUUAACAAUUGCAAAAUGUGAUGUGCUCAUCUACUGGCCAGAAGAAGUGUUCCAAAGCUUGGUAUCUUUGAAGUACUUGUUCAUUUUCUCCUGCAACAAGCUAAUAGGGCCCACACAAGCGAAAGGUGACAAACCUACACAAACAACAGAUCAAGUCCUGCCACAUCUAAACAUGAUACGUAUACACAAUUGUGAAAGCAUGGCACAGCUCUUCAUUCUUCCCCCAUCUAUCAGAAUUAUUCAUAUUUUUGAGUGCCCUAAGCUUGAGUUCAUAUGGGGAAAAGAGGAGCAUCUUGACACAUAUGCAUCGCUGGAACAUUGCCGCGACCCUGCAUCCACCACUGGUAACCUAGAGCAAUCGCCGUCUCCAAUUAUUCGCCGUCCAUGCCUUGUAGAUCUAACUAUAAGAGGAUGUGAUAGCCUGGUAACACUUCCAAAUCUACCACCGUCCCUCAAGGAAUUAUUCAUCCGGAAGUGUGAGAAGCUCUGCUCUGUGUCAGGAGACCUGUGUGCACUCGAGACCCUACAGAUUGUUAACUGCAAUAAGUUACAGUCAGUCAAUUCCUUGGGAGACCACCCAUCAUUAGAAACACUGUUUCUUUCUGGCUGCCGAUGCCUUGCAUCUUUAGGAUGUGAUGGUGGUCGUGGGAGUUACUCUGCUCUUCAGUGCCGUGAGAUCGAAGACUGCCCAGCCAUAGAUAUGAAGCAGUUUUACUAACGCCAUCAAACAGCUGCUUGACAGCUUUGAAUAUGAAGACGUAUCACACGUUCAUUCAAGCAGCUCUGAUGAAGGUACGACCUUUCACUUUCCUCUUAUUCAAUUUGUUUCCUUCAAAUUUCCCUUCUUUGCAUGCCCUCCUAUUUUGUUGACGAUCUGGUUUAUAGAUGGGCUUGCGGGGUGGGAUUUUGGGGUUUCAUCUUCGUUCCGGCUUUUAGACGGUCCUUUCUCACUGACGUGACCCCACAUAUAUUUUAGUUUAUACGGCUAUUGGUUUUCAGUCUUCGAUGCAGUUGAAGUGCAUAGGGAAAUUCUGGAAACAUGUUCUAUCCCUUGGUGUUGAGAUCAGCUGAUGCGGAAUCACUGAAGUACUACUGAAACGAGAUCCUGAUCGGUCUCAGUUGUGGAGAGCAAUUUGUGAUGAAUGGAAGCAGUCCCAAGGCUUCAAGAACUCAUGGAGUCGUGCUGUACCAUUCUCCACUGCCAGGGCCUAAACUAGGUACAUGGAAGGCGCACAGGUUGGGAUAGUAAAAAACCAUACCUUUGUCUGUGUUAGAGCAACUCCAAGAGGCUGCUAAUCUUACCCCAAUACCUUUUUUAGGAAAAAAAAAGAGAAAAAAUGAACUCCAACAAUCCACCUAAACCUUCCCCAAUUUUUUAGCGACGCUAAAAAACAGCCUGCCAUCGCGUAUAUUUUAGCGUUGGCGUUCCUUCCCCAAUCCUGAUUCCCGCACACCCGCGCGUCCCUUCCGAUGGGCCCAAUACGAUGACGUGGCCUGUGUUUGAAAUAUUGGGGGCUAUUUAUUAGCGAUCUGUUGUGGACUGAUAUGCUUUUGGGGGAAAUUUUUUUUGGGAGAACCCCCAAUACAUAGUUUUGGGGAAGAAUUUUUUAGGAUACUCUUGGAGUUGCUCUUAGAGCAUCUUCAAGAGUCUGCCAAAAAACUCUUCCCCAAAACCACAUCAUCCCACAAUAGAUCCCUAAUAAUAAAUUUUCCAAUAUUUUAAAAUUUGCCACAUCAGCAUGCGUGGACCCUAAGCUGGGCUGCCCCCUUCCCCCGCUGGAGCGUUUUCGCGCUUUCGCACUGUGGCUGCCUGAGCAGGGGUUGGUCUGUGCUGAUUUGCUGAACCAUGCAUAUUAUAUGCACUGGGACUGUCAUGCCCUCAGAAAAGCAUCAUCAUCUACUGGUAUGACGUCAAUUCAGCCUCAAACUCUCAACACUGAAGGCCUUCGAGGACUAGGACUACGCCAGCGCCACCCAUUGAAUCCCAUCCCCAUCUCGGCCACGUGCCAUGCCAUGCCCAGCCGUGGGGCACUGGGCAGCCCACGUGCAGCCACUUGUGGCCACGGACGCCCAGCCAGACCAUCACCCCCAAGAGGAGGAACGCCUUAUCUUUUCACCAUGAGAAAGCAGAGUCUAACGGUCCGUGGGCAAUAGGAAAAUCAGCACCGGCGGACUCCUGUGUUCACCUUCAUAUUUUUCGUGGUCUAUAUUAUGCGAGUUAUAGCAGUCCUAGGGAAUUUGUUUGGUGUCUCGGAGUUGUCAUAUUCCUAUUAAUGAUUGUGACAGCUUUUAUAGGAUACGUACCACCUUGGGGUCAGAUGAGCUUUCGGGGAGCAACAGUAAUUACAAGCUUAGCUAGCGCCAUACCAGUAGUAGGAGAUACCAUAGUGACUUGGCUUUGGGGUGGUUUCUCCGUGGACAAGGCUCUUGGAGUUGCUCUUAAUCAAUUCUCAUUUAGCACUCUGUUGUUAACAUGUUACCCCCAUGCUUUUCAUUUUUUCUGUGCAGACAUGACCCAUUUAUCCUUAAAAGGCAUAAAGGAGGGCACUCACAUGUACGCACGACUGGCAACUGGAAGCUUCGUUGCAAGCCUCUGCUAACGACCAAGUUUGUUUUCACGCCACUAUACCAGCUGCUGGUAAUUCUCUUGUCACUAAUGUCAUCCUGUCAUCCAUCAAAGCCGUGGAGAAUAUGAUGCCACUCUGAGUCCUUCAGUUUGCCACGUGAGCCGAUGAAGCAGAAACAGAUGAUGAUGAUGGAUGAUAUAACUGCGGGGAUGCAGACUUGCUUUCAACGGUCGAAAUGGAGCUACAAAUGAUUAGUCGUAGUCGUGUGUGGUCCUUCCAUCACCUUGUGUUAUUGAUCCCGUUUGUAUGUGUUGCGUUCUCUAUAUCCCUCCAUAGCUUUUCAGUUGUUGUCUCUUUUACGACUAUUUUGAUUCCUCUUUUCCUUUUUAUUAAUAUAACACAAAAAUCCUCUUGCCAUGUUUUUGAAAAAACAAAAUCGUGAGGAUGCUGCUUCAUGAAGCUAGCAACAUGGAUCUCAUAUGGUUCUUCCGAUUGUUGGGAUUGGUGGGAUGGGCAAGACCACCUUUAAUUUGUGCAACUCAUUUAUGACCCUGAUCGUGAUGCAUUUUGAGCUUCAGAGGUGGUGCUGUGUGUCAGAUUCGAAAAUGUUUUUUGACUCUUUCAUCACCGCCUUCAGUAGCUCAUGCCGGUCAGGUCUUCUCCAGUGACCAGUUCCUUCACCUUGGUUGCGCACCCCCUCACCUGGGCUUGCAGCUAGGUCAUAGCCUUGGCAUUCCGCAUCAUCUCAGCCAUGGCAUAGUCUAGUGCUACGUAGGUUGUGUCCGUCCCGGCUUCAAACAUGUCCUUCAUGAACAUAUCCGUAGAACUCCAAUCAAAUUUAACCAAACUAGUCAUGAAACAUGUCAUAUGUACCUCUUGUGAGAAUUAAAUUGGAGGCUUAAAAUCCUUCAAUUAGUAACAGUAAGAAAUUAAUUAAAAUUUGGAGUUUUGUUGCAUACAAGUUGCCAGUCACCAGUACAGAAAUGACCUUUAGUCCUGGUUAGGAAACCUUGGGAAACCUCAAAGAGCUCGGUUUUCCCGACCGGGAUUAAGUAUUCGGGAUUUAGUCCUGUAACACCAUGUGCUUUGCCUUAUAAUGAAAGCCACUAAAAAUUCGAACUUCUAAAAUUUUCCUAUAAACUAAAAUGUGCCUUGCUAUUUCAUACCUCAAAACCCUUUCAAAAUAAAUUUUACAAAACAACCUUCAUCAAAAUUCACCAUAUGCAUUUUAUUGUGCUUGUUUGAGUGUUGUUUGCUUGUGUGCUUUGUUGAAUCUUUUGGUGGCAACCAACCCCUUGACCUCCUUUCCAAAUUUCCCACAAAUCCUUGUUAAACAUCCCUUCGAAUUCCUCAAAUCCAUUCAAACUCCAUUUCAAAUCUCUUCCAAAAUUAUUCAAACCAUUUCCUUGGGUGCAGGCUCAAUUUCCCUCUCCUCUCCUUUCGGCCUGGCGUGGCUUGCUUCUCCUUCUCCCUUUCAGCCCAGCUCGGCCCGCCCCUCCUCGCCUUCUUCUUUCCCGAGCAGGCCACCUCCUCCUCCUCCUUUACUUCCGCACGGCCCGGUCCAGCCCACAACGGCCGCCACCUCUCUCUUCCUCUCCGCACCAGCACCGCCCAUGAGAAUGGCCCGUGACGACCCGGCUCCCACUCCAUGUCAGCAUUGCGUCCGCACACAGCCGCUGAUGAGUAGGUCCCACUCAAUAGCGUCAUCCCCAACCUCGUGUCGUCUUCCCCAAUGCGUCUCGUUGCCGCCGCCUUGUCCCAUCUCCGCCCGUCGCCUAUGCCGUCGUGCCGGCCCCGAAGAAAUAUCUCGCCGCUCCAUCCCAUCAUGGCCCCACCUGUCAUCCCGCACGGUCCUAAAAGAUCUCCGCCGCCCGCUCCACGGACCUCUGUGCACAAUCGACCUCUCGCGGCUAUAAAAGCUGGCGAGCCCCGCCAUCGCUCCCCGCACCUCAAGCUCGAGCUCCCUCCCUCUUCUUCUGCUCGAGCUCGCCUCCUCCCUCUUUAGUCCUCUCCUCCCUCCACCGGAGCACGGCUUCCUCCGAAGCCACGCCUCGCCGAGCCCUGCCCUUCCCUCUUCCUGUCUAGCGCGCCACCGCACAGAACUGCCAGCCAAGCACUAGCGCCGCCACCGUGACAAACUCGAGGAGGACAAAGUGCCGAGCGACGUUGGAUCGGUAACAAGCGGCCCUGAUCUGCCUGAGCUAAUUCGCGUCCCACACCCGAUGACAAGUAGGCCCGAGUCUAACGCCGAAAAUGCCGUCUGUUGGUGACCAGUGGGCACCACAUCAGCAAGCAAGCUCCCAGACAUCACCAUGGCACUGGGAGGGUGCCUCGCAAGCACCACGCGGACACACCCGUAGCAAAUGACACGUCAUCAUGGGUCCACAUGUGAGUUACUGUGUGACACUGUGCGGUCAACAGUCAACACUGACCAGGGACACACCUGGAGUAACUGUGUCGACGGUAAAAUUACUACGCGUACUCAGGUUAGUGUACACGGAAGUCUCGUUUACCCCUUUCCUUGCACAAGCAAGCUCCCAGACAAAUUGUCACUCGCCAUGGCACUGGGAGGGUGCCUCGCAAGCGCCACGCGGACACACCCGUAGCAAAUGACACGUCAUCAUGGGCCCACAUGUGAGUUACUGUGUGACACUGUGCGGUCAAUAGUCAACACUGACCAGGGACACACCUGGAGUAACUGUGUCGACGGUAAAAUUACUACGCGUACUCAGGUUAGUGUACACGGAAGUCUCGUUUACCCCUUUCCUUGCACAGAAAAAUUUCCAAAAAAUUCCUAAAAAUACUAGAGCCACCCUAUAACCCAUCCAAACCUUUUGCACCCCAUUUCCAUCAUACAAAAUUAUGGGAAAAUAAAUUUCACCACUCAGGCACUCAUAAAUUCCAAUAAAUCACAUAAAUUCCCGAUAAAUUCCCAAAAAUCAUCUCUCCUGUCAAACUCCGUUUCUGUCAAUUCUUCCACCAAAAUUCUUCUAAAAUUAAAUCCUUGAUAUCCCUUCCGGUGCCACCAUUAGUUUCUUUGUUUGAUUCUUGAUUUGUUCAUGUAUUGCUCUUCGACCUGUUAGUCACUAACAUCACACAAACCCCUUAUGCUCAUGCAUGCAUAUACACUGUAGCAUGUAUACAACUAUAUGAGUAUACAUACACCCCCCUUCACACACCUACCACCGAUACUUUUUUUAUUUUUGUUUUUGCAAAAAAAAAAUCAAAACUAUUUAGUCCCAGUUGGUAAUACCAACAGGGACUAAAAGGGGCGGGAGGUAGCCACUGGCGCCGUGAUCGUUUUCUUCCGGUUGGUAUUACCAACUGGGACUAAAAGGGGAUAUUAUAUCCCGGUUUUGGGACCCGUGAUAAAAGACCCCCCUAUCUCGACAAGUUAAUCCUAGAUGCAUUUUCGGAAGAUAUGCACCCUACAAACCGGUACUAAUACCGAAUUUUCUAAUAGUGAAUGGUGCCGGUAGGCGUCCCCUUCAGCUGCAUUCUCUUCCAACCUGCAUACAAAGAGUCACUGGAGAUAGCGUGAUACAACCUCGGUUAGUCAGGCGAUCAAAUGAUAUAACCUCGAGUUAAUCUAGGCCGAAGCCAAUUAGCUUCCGUGUUUCUAUCUGAAGCUGGCAGAGUUAGCGCCUUGUCUGGGCGAGCUAAGACCCGGGUUAUAGGCGAAGGGGAUGAGUUUUGGACAGAUCCCCAACAUCUCGAAAAAUUAAUCUCGGUUGGGCAUUGGAGAGUUAUGCUCCUUCCCAACCGGGACUAAUAGUCAGUUUUCUACUACUGGUUGUGUAGAGGUGAGGAGGCGAGGGUUUUAGGUGAGGACGAUGAGGUGGCACCGCUCCCUUUCUCCGAUUCAACUGUCUCUAUAAAAUUGAUAUGGUUAGAUAUGUCAUAUUCUGUGGUACCACCUCGCGAUCACGAUGUGUGUGCCUCUAUAUAUGUUGUGCCAUUGCAGUCCAUUCGAUCGAGGGAGUACCAUAGCGUGACUGAACUACUGAAAAUGAAAAGCCUACACUUCUGCAACAACACAGUCUACCCCUAUGUUUACAACCUGACUUCCUCCUACAUCGACCAGAACAAUGAGGCCACCAUGGUGACCACCACCUUGGUCAUGUUUAUGCUGGCCGUGUUCGUCUUCAACCUCAACCUCUUCAGCCGCUUCUUGGACGUGAGCGCGAUUCUCAACCCUAGCGUCCGCCUCUUCCUCUCCACCUCCCUGUCCCUCUUCCUGCCGGUCAUGUCCUACCUCUUCUCCGAGGCCAAGAACCAAGGUGCAACGACGACCAUGGCUGCUAGUACUAGUAGCUCCAGUUAUGGCGAGCUCGGUGACGAGCUGUCACUUCGAGCUAGGACGAUCCUCAUGUGGAUGCUUCUUGUGGAGCUCCUACGCAAGAAGGUGGAGGCCGUCCUGGUCAACGUGGGCAUGCAGUGGUACUCAGGCGCCAUCGAUCGCUUCGCCCGCAUUGUUUGGCUCUGCUAGCUCGUCUUCUACAAUGUCAAAAGCCCCGGCAAGAAGGCGAUCUACGGCACCUUAUGGGUCCUCACUGCUGCCAAGUUCCUGCAAAGGGUCGUCGUCAAGAUGGUGCUGGAGCGUUCCUUCGCCUACGGAAGGAACACCCAGCUGCUCAACUCAUACAUGGCCCAGAUCAUCCAACAACAAGAGCAAGAGGAGCACUUGGGGUCAUCGUAGGCGGAGCUGUUGAAGAAGUGCGAGUACACCGUGAUGGGAGAAGACAACCUGGAGAGGACGGCUGGCCGGCAUGCAUGGCUACCAGGUCGAGCUGAACAAGGCAGCCGUUGUCACCGUUGGUGACAUUUGGACGCAGGCAGCAGCCGAGCCGGACAGCCUCCUCCGGAGAGAACACCUCAGAAGGCUCUGCCUCUCCUUUGUUCUCUACAAGCUGCUGCGCCGGAGGUUCGAGGACAUCCCCACAACAAGGGAGGAGACCCGGAACUGCCGGAACCUCAUCUUCAAGGGCAUGUUGAAGGAGGAGGCGGAGCAAGGUGCCGAGGUCGCACUGUUCCAGUCUUCAACGAUGAGACCCAGUUCGUUUGCGAGUACUACCAUUCCGUCCUACCCGUCGUCUUGUCCGACCCUUUCUUCUUCAUAGCCAACUACAUCUUGUUUCCCAUUGUAGUUUGUGCCUUCUGCCUCCUAACAUUGAUCAUCUGCGGCAAUGGGAGCGUCCACUACGCCUACCAGAGCAUCAAAAGUGACAACUACAUCAUAUACACUGGCGCGACGACGCUGACCAGAUGCCUCCUGAGAAACAUCGCCCAUUCACCCGAGGUGCUAGCUGUUCGCCAGCAUCGACCUAGGCACCACCACUCUGCUCAUCCUGGCCUUCGUCUACGAGGAAGUCGUGGAGGUCCUCGUCUUUAUCCUCUCCAAUUGGCUCAUCGUGUCGCUCAUCUGUCAGUACACCGCCAAGCUCCACUGGCGGCAGAGCCGCAUCCUGUGUCGGCUCAUCCGCGGCAUCCUGUGGGUGCGAAGCAUGCUAUAAGCCACCCUAACCUCUGCUUCAAGCAGCUCUCCGUGCUAGGGUUCUUCCAACUGUCGUCGCCUUCGCCGUUCAUGGUGCCAACCAAGGCAGUGCCCAAG